UUUCCGUAGGUGAACCUGCGGAAGGAUCAUUACAAAUCUUUUGCGAGUGCUGCGUGCUUAACUGUGCGUAGCAUCUCACAACAUUAGCACAAGGUCGCAAGACCUUGAUGUUUACGCUUGUUUGUUUGACAGAGUUAGUUGAGACAAUAAAAAAGACAACUUUUAACAAUGGAUCUCUUGGCUCUUGCAUCGAUGAAGAACGCAGC
This 206-nucleotide unclassified non-coding RNA is filed under the name uncultured fungus. RNAcentral's name for it is "sequence contains ITS1, 5.8S rRNA gene". The stretch from base 158 to 206 matches the Rfam family "5.8S ribosomal RNA", at positions 1 to 49 of the family's 154-position model. The record is from RNAcentral. Lineage: Eukaryota; Fungi.